UACAGGGGGUGCAAACGUUGCUCGGAAUUAUUGGGCGUAAAGCGCGCGUAGGCGGCCACUUAAGUCGGAUGUGAAAGCCCUUGGCUCAACUGAGGAAGUGCACCCGAAACUGAAUGGCUUGAGUACUAAAGAGGGUCGCGGAAUUCCCGGUGUAGAGGUGAAAUUCGUAGAUAUCGGGAGGAACACCGGUGGCGAAGGCGGCGACCUGGGUAGAUACUGACGCUGAGGAACGAAGGCCAGGGGAGCAAACGGG
This 253-nucleotide ribosomal RNA is filed under the name uncultured bacterium. Its description in RNAcentral is "partial 16S ribosomal RNA". It matches the Rfam family "Bacterial small subunit ribosomal RNA", at positions 524 to 776 of the family's 1533-position model. The record is from RNAcentral.